RNAcentral lists this long non-coding RNA (242 nucleotides) under Solanum tuberosum (potato). RNAcentral's name for it is "long non-coding RNA (STUB_LNC011439)". The record is from RNAcentral. Lineage: Eukaryota; Viridiplantae; Streptophyta; Magnoliopsida; Solanales; Solanaceae.
ACCAAUAGUAAUAAAGUUUAAAAUAUAUCAAGGAGAUAAAAAUAUCACUUUAGGAAUAAAAUGGUUAGAACAAGUAAAACCACAUAAUCUAGAAGACAAACAGUUAACAAUAAAUUAUGAAAAUAAAAGAGUAAUAAUAAAAAGAACUUUAGUAUGAUAAAAAUAUGAAAAUAUAUAUACUUGCAAAGAUAAUAAUAGAGCAAUAUUACAACAGAUAUUAUACACCAAUGAUAGAUACAGGA